UACAGAGGGUGCAAGCGUUAAUCGGAAUUACUGGGCGUAAAGCGUGCGCAGACGGUUGCGUAAGUCAGAUGUGAAAGCCCCGGGCUCAACCUGGGAAUUGCAUUUGAUACUCUGGAGCUUGAGUACGGGAGAGGAGAGUGGAAUUCCCAGUGUAGAGGUGAAAUUCGUAGAUAUUGGGAAGAACACCGGUGGCGAAGGCGGCUCUCUGGACCGUAACUGACGCUGAGGCGCGAAAGCGUGGGGAGCAAACAGG
RNAcentral lists this ribosomal RNA (253 nucleotides) under uncultured bacterium. RNAcentral's name for it is "partial 16S ribosomal RNA". It matches the Rfam family "Bacterial small subunit ribosomal RNA", at positions 524 to 776 of the family's 1533-position model. The record is from RNAcentral.